GACGAACGCUGGCGGCGUGCCUAAUACAUGCAAGUCGAACGGACAGGCCCUGCUCUUGUUGGUUGCUCGAUUGCCGCACGCGUGAGUAAAACGCGAGUAUCCUGCCCUUGACUUUGUGAUAACUCCUGGGAACUGGGGCUCAUACAGGAUAGGAGCUCUUGCUCCACGGUGGGGGUUGGUAAGUUUCGGCGGUUGGGGAUGGACUAGCGGCUUAUCCGCUAGUUGGUGGGGUAGUUGCUUACCAAGCCUGUGACGGGUAGCCGGCCUGAGAGGGUUACCGGCGACAAUGGUACUGAGAGACGGCCCAGAAGGCUACGGGAGGCAACAGGGGAGAAUAUGGCACAAUGGGCGGAAGCGUGAGGCAGCAACGCCGCGUGCGUAAAGACGGCCUUCUAGGUGUAAACCACUGUCGCCGGUGACGAAGCGGUAGUGACGGUAAUGAGUAAAGAAGCACCGGCUAACUACGUG
RNAcentral lists this ribosomal RNA (468 nucleotides) under uncultured bacterium. RNAcentral's name for it is "partial 16S ribosomal RNA". It matches the Rfam family "Bacterial small subunit ribosomal RNA", at positions 28 to 507 of the family's 1533-position model. The record is from RNAcentral.